UUGCCCUAGUAACGGCGAGUGAAGCGGCAACAGCUCAAAUUUGAAAUCUGGCGCAAGCCCGAGUUGUAAUUUGUAGAGGAUGCUUCUGGGUAGCGACCGAUCUAAGUUCCUUGGAACAGGACGUCAUAGAGGGUGAGAAUCCCGUAUGUGACCGGCCCGCACCCUUUACGUAGCUCCUUCGACGAGUCGAGUUGUUUGGGAAUGCAGCUCUAAAUGGGAGGUAAAUUUCUUCUAAAGCUAAAUACCGGCCAGAGACCGAUAGCGCACAAGUAGAGUGAUCGAAAGAUGAAAAGUACUUUGGAAAGAGAGUUAAAAAGCACGUGAAAUUGUUGAAAGGGAAGCGCCUGCAACCAGACUUCGCGGCAGUGUUCCACCGGUCUUCUGACCGGUUCAUUCUCUGUCGCGAGGCCAUCAUCGUCUGGGCCCGCCGGAUAAGACCUUAGGAAUGUAGCUCACCUUCGGGGGAGUGUUAUAGCCUAGGGUGAUGCGGCGAGGCUCGGGCGAGGUCCGCGCUUCGGCAAGGAUGAUGGCGUAAUGGUUGUCGGCGGCCCGUCUUGAAACACGGACCAAGGAGUCUAACAUCUAUGCGAGUGUUCGGGUGUCAAACCCCUACGCGUAAUGAAAGUGAACGGAGGUGGGAACCGCAAGGUGCACCAUCGACCGAUCCUGAUGUCCUCGGAUGGAUUUGAGUAAGAGCAUAGCUGUUGGGACCCGAAAGAUGGUGAACUAUGCCUGAAUAGGGUGAAGCCAGAGGAAACUCUGGUGGAGGCUCGCAGCGGUUCUGACGUGCAAAUCGAUCGUCAAAUUUGGGUAUAGGGGC
Molecule: ribosomal RNA, 820 nt
Filed under: Septoria lamiicola
Lineage: Eukaryota; Fungi; Ascomycota; Dothideomycetes; Mycosphaerellales; Mycosphaerellaceae
Description: LSU rRNA
Rfam family: Eukaryotic large subunit ribosomal RNA
Source: RNAcentral